UCUCUCCAGCACUUGGCGUUAUUAGUCUUUUUAGUUUUAAGCAUUCAGGUGAGUGUUUAGUGAUAUCUCACUGUGGUUUUAAUGUAUAUUCCCCUCGUGAUUAAUGAUAUUAGGAACCUUUUCAUAAGUUUAUUGGCUACUGGGAUAUCCUCUUUUGUGUAACACCUGUUCAAGUCUUUGGCCAUUUUUUUCUACUGGGUUCUCUGUUGCUUUUUAAAAAUUUUAAUUGACUUUAGUAGUUUUAUUUAUAGUCUGGUUAUGAGCCCCUUAUCAGUUACACGUGUUAAAGCUACCUUCUCCUGCUUUGGUUUGUCUUUUCAUUCUCUUCUACCUUCCAAAACAGAAGUUCUUAAUUUUGAUAAAUAAAGGUUCUUAAUUUUAAUGUAUUCAAAUUAAUCCUUCUUUUUCUAUAUAGUUUGUAGGUUUCCUUUCUUGGUCAUAAAUGCAUUCUCUUGUAGUAUUUUUUAAAAACUUAAAUUUUUUUUGUCUUUCACAUUUUUGGUCCUUUUUUUCAUUCAUAUUUAGCUCUAAAAUCCACCCAGAACUAAUUUUUGUGAAUGGUGUCAGAGGAACUUUCAAUUUUUUUCCUUAUGUAUGUCCAACUGACCCAGUACCUUUACUGAGAAGACUCUCUUUCCCCCUCUGCUAUUUAUACUGAGGUCACGCUUCUCUUGAGCUGACUUCUGUCAGUGACUGAGCACAGAGAGGGUACUAAAGCCUCAUUUCUGUCCCAUGUGGGGUUCCGCUAAUGGGGACCUCUGCUUGGAGGCUACCCAUUGGUCCACUGAGAUUUUUUCAGGGCUGCACUGUGGUCAGAGGUUCUUGCUACCCCGUCUUCCUUCCACCUCUCACAGGUGUCAGACCUGCACGGCGGUCCAAAGGCUCUCCCUCCUCCGCCGCUCCCUCCCUCUUUAUCCUCACAUGCAACUCCCCACUGGUCCUCUCUCCAGUCUAUAUCUUGCGUGUCCAAUCUGUUUCUUGGAGGACCUGAAAUGACACAGAGUGGGCAGAUCCUAGGGUAAAAGGGAGUCAGUGUUGUGUCAAGAUGACAAAAAGCUGGACUGAGUUCAGGGCAAAAGAGAGCAGAUGAAGAGACUGGGUUGAAGGAUUUUCUGAAAAAAGAGUGAAUGGAAACUGUGCCGACAAUGUGGAGGGCAAGGGAGGGGGUGGAGCUGAAGAUGACUAAGACUGAGACUAAAGAAAGCAUUGUGUCGUGGGGGUGGAGCUUAUUUGAGGGAACCAUCCAUGACAUUAGCUCCAUGCUAAUGAAGGGAUUUUUUUUGUGAUGAAAAAAUUAAUAGCAAUGUUAAAUUACAUUUGUAUUGAGUUUAACUGUGUUUACUGAGUGCAUUUGCACUUUAUCUCGUUUACUUACUCUUUAACAAUAGGGGAGAAGAGGGAAACAAGUAAGGGAGGUCCUAUUUGUCUCCCGUUUCCUGUGGUCUUUACUGUCAGUCCUCCCGAUCCAGACUCUUUCUUCACUUCUUUUUCCAAGGGCUGAAGAUUCAACUGAAGAAAUUGAUCAGGUUUCAAUCUAAAUUUGAGCUCUGGUUCUCUGCUUUCCUGUUGGCCCUGGAUUGAGAAUAGCCUCUCAUUUACCAGCCAUCUGCUCCCUCCAAGUCUCUCCUGCUGAGUGGUGUCUCCAAAUAUCUUCCCAGAGAGAGGACAGAAUCUCCAACAAAAUCUAUGAGGAAAAUAAUCCAUUAUGAUCUCCAUCAGGACCAUGCCUGGAUAGAAGAGGUAAGGCUGUCACCAGGGCUUGUAGAGACCUUGAGACAAAUUACACAAUUAAUUUUCUCUGCUUUCCACUCUCAACCCCUGGCCCUAACACCCCAGCAUUUUUAUCCUGGUGAGAUCAGGUCAAAAUGAAUGUCAAGGGCUAAUUGGAAGAGGAUGAGAAGUCAAACAAUGGACCCAUGGGACUGGAGGGGCUGAAUAGAAUUGAAUGGAGGCGUUAGCACUUGGUUUGCUCUGGGAAGUCUGGACUUUAGAGGCUGUGGGUGGAGGUGUGAGCCUCAGGCCCUUUCUUCUAUGCACCAGAUGGCAGAGCCACCUCACUGCACUCUGCCUGCUGCCUGGUCCAUGCACCUGGGUGGCGCUGGCCUGCUCUGUCUCACACCUCUGUCUGCCAGGAGGAGUAAUUAUAGUUGAAACAAAUGUAUUGCAAUACCUGGAUGGAUACAGCUCAAUUGACUCCUGACAGGUCUCUGGCGAAGAGAGCCUGCAGCAGCUGCGGU
Molecule: long non-coding RNA, 2237 nt
Organism: Orcinus orca (killer whale)
Lineage: Eukaryota; Metazoa; Chordata; Mammalia; Artiodactyla; Delphinidae
Exons: 3
Source: RefSeq, a predicted model, not a curated record